Molecule: ribosomal RNA, 495 nt
Filed under: uncultured bacterium
Lineage: Bacteria
Description: partial 16S ribosomal RNA
Rfam family: Bacterial small subunit ribosomal RNA
Source: RNAcentral
GAUGAACGCUAGCGGGAGGCCUAACACAUGCAAGCCGGGCGGUAGAGAUUCUUCGGAAUCUUGAGAGCGGCGUGCGGGUGCGGAACACGUGUGCAACCUGCCUUUAUCAGGGGGAUAGCCUUUCGAAAGGAAGAUUAAUACCCCAUAAUAUAUUGAAUGGCAUCAUUUGAUAUUGAAAACUCCGGUGGAUAGAGAUGGGCACGCGCAAGAUUAGAUAGUUGGUGAGGUAACGGCUCACCAAGUCUACGAUCUUUAGGGGGCCUGAGAGGGUGGCCCCCCACACUGGUACUGAGACCCGGACAAGACUCCUACGGGAGGCAGCAGUGAGAAAUAUUGGAAAAUGGGUGCGAGCCUGAUCCAGCCAUCCCGCGUGAAGGACGACGGCCCUAUGGGUUGUAAACUUCUUUUGUAUAGGGAUAAACCUAGAUACGUGUAUCUAGCUGAAGGUACUAUACGAAUAAGCACCGGCUAACUCCGUGCCAGCAGCCGCCGUAA